This 210-nucleotide long non-coding RNA is filed under the name Elaeis guineensis (African oil palm). RNAcentral's name for it is "long non-coding RNA (EGUI_LNC006759)". Lineage: Eukaryota; Viridiplantae; Streptophyta; Magnoliopsida; Arecales; Arecaceae. The record is from RNAcentral.
UUGGUUAUUAGUAAAGAAAGAGACGUCCCCUGUUUUGCUGUCUCUCCCCCCACCUAAUUCCUCAUCCGGCCUUCAUUAAUGCGCCUUUCUCCACAACGUGUCAUGUCCCCCAUCUCUUCCUUUCCUCUCGCUUUUACUGUUUUGAUUACCCAAUUACACGCUGUAGGGAAUAAAAAUUUCUCAUUCGAUCAACAUCGGACCAGGCAUCGG